RNAcentral lists this long non-coding RNA (380 nucleotides) under Callithrix jacchus (white-tufted-ear marmoset). RNAcentral's name for it is "lncRNA (ENSCJAG00000085974.1)". Lineage: Eukaryota; Metazoa; Chordata; Mammalia; Primates; Cebidae. The record is from RNAcentral.
AAUAAAUUGUAUUAGAAUAAGUAAUAUAUUUAUUAUAUAAGAAUGACGAUAAGGUCAAGGACAAAUAAAAUAAUAUUUCACAAGAUGUUUCUAUUUUAUAGAAUUGACAAAGCUCUUUUAACUAUGACAGAAGAUUCAGAAAUGGCUCCAAGCACUUUGAUUUUUGUUUCUACUCAAAGGAGAUUCAGAAGACGACAAACUUAUAUAAUACACCUGCUCAUAGAGAUGUACUGAUAUCCAUCUAUUCCACGUAAUGAAAAAGACAACAGAGUUUCGCCCUUUUUGCCCAGGCUGGAGUGCAACCACAAGAUCUCAGUUCACUGCCAUUUCUGCCUCACAGGUUCAAGCGAUUCUCCUGCCUCAGCCUCCCAAGUAGCUGG